UCCCUGAUGGCUCAGACAGUAAAGAAUCUGCCUGCAAUGUAGGAGAUCCAGGUUCAAUCCCUGGGUUGGGAA
RNAcentral lists this transfer RNA (72 nucleotides) under Capra hircus (goat). It matches the Rfam family "tRNA". From Rfam's summary of the family: Transfer RNA (tRNA) molecules are approximately 80 nucleotides in length. Their secondary structure includes four short double-helical elements and three loops (D, anti-codon, and T loops). RNAcentral also lists the same sequence under 1 other name. Lineage: Eukaryota; Metazoa; Chordata; Mammalia; Artiodactyla; Bovidae. The record is from Rfam by way of RNAcentral.